Lycium barbarum (goji berry) is the source of this 386-nucleotide long non-coding RNA. RefSeq lists it as uncharacterized. The transcript has 2 exons. Lineage: Eukaryota; Viridiplantae; Streptophyta; Magnoliopsida; Solanales; Solanaceae. The record is from RefSeq and is a predicted model, not a curated record.
GAAGAGGUAUCAAUAAAAACAGUCAUAUAAUUAUCAUAGUGCUACCAAAUUAGUACUUGGAGUAGAGAAUGGAGAAGACAACAUUCCUAAAGGUUUUCUUGGUGUCAUUUUUGCUUAUUGUGUUAGGACAAGGAAGCAAUGGGGGGCUUCUAUGCAAUGAUGAUGACGACUGUCCUCACCAACUAAUAUGCUCAAUUGGUACUACUCCAACAUGUGACUUGGAGACACGUAGUUGUUAUUGUAAAAUAACUACCCUCCCCCCCACCCCACCCAACCCCAAACCAGCUUAUAAUGGACAAGAAGUCGUCGAGAGCAACAAAGACUGAUUUAUGUUUUUGGGACUUCAUUUGUAAUGAUAAACAAUUAAAGGAAAAAGGGUUAGAUUC